GAUGAACGCUGGCGGCGUGCCUAAUACAUGCAAGUCGAGCGAACAGACGAGGAGCUUGCUCCUCUGACGUUAGCGGCGGACGGGUGAGUAACACGUGGAUAACCUACCUAUAAGACUGGGAUAACUUCGGGAAACCGGAGCUAAUACCGGAUAAUAUAUUGAACCGCAUGGUUCAAUAGUGAAAGACGGUUUUGCUGUCACUUCUAGCUGGAUCCGCGCCGCAUUGGCUAGUUGGUAAGGUAACGGCUUACCAAGGCGACGAUGCGUAGCCGACCUGUGAGAGUGAUCGGCGGCAUGGGAGCUGGGACACGGUCCAUGCGCCUACGGGAGGCAGCAGUAGCGAAUCUUCCGCAGUAGGCGAGAACCUGACGGAGCAACGCCACGUGAGUGAUGGAAGUCUUCGGAGCGGAAUACUCUGUUAUUAGUGGAGAACAAAUGUGGAAGUUACUAUGCACUUCUUGACGGUACCUGGUCAGAAAGCCACGGCUAACUACGUG
RNAcentral lists this ribosomal RNA (497 nucleotides) under uncultured bacterium. RNAcentral describes it as "partial 16S ribosomal RNA". It matches the Rfam family "Bacterial small subunit ribosomal RNA", at positions 28 to 507 of the family's 1533-position model. The record is from RNAcentral.